AAUUUUUAAAUUGGCGUAAUCUAGCACAUCACCAAUAUGUAUUGCAUUAGAAUUCUACCUUCACAAGGCAUCCUAUUCUUCAUUGCCAAACCUACCCACAAGAGAAUCAGCAGUCCUCGCCAAAACCAACCCACAAGAGAAUCUCAGCAGAUAUUCGUUCUCCCAAAUCUCUGGCCGUAUACAACAACCUCGCAGCCGCUUUGACCUCCGGUCUGCCGUGCUUCACCGCCGCUCUUAGUGUUUCGAAGGCCGUUUGAGGUCACCCGACAAGUUAAACACUUCGAAGAGAACCAUUCCGUUCGAUUUCUCAAAAAUCGUCGAAUGCUUAAUUAGUCGGGCAGAGAAGCUUGAAGGUGAUCUGUCAAGGUAAGGAUAUCCAUGUUUUGGUCAUGGAAGGAUAUAUGCAAAUAAGAUUGACACUAUUAUGGAUUAAAGAAGCAAUAUUUUGUUUGCCAAUGGAAUUUCAUAAUUUGCUCCGCACAUGGGUACGCCUAUGAUAUUAUAUUCAAAUUUCAGGAGAUUAUGUUUUGUCCCAAUAUCAAAGUCAUUGCUCAAUAUCUAAGAUUAUUAUAUAUAUAUAUAUUUUUCAAUAUAUAUAAUAUCAAAGUCUGAGCUUGUGGAUUGUGAAAGUUAGGCUUUAUAAAAUAUAAUGAUAUAGUAAUUGUUUUGCUGCCAUAUCAAUAUGUUUAUAUUUACUUGAUUAGAGUUACACUUAUAAUUAUUAUUAACAUUCCUUUUUGUUGUUAUUUGUUUAUUAUUAUUUAUUAUUUUCGGUGUUACAGAAUAAAUAUUUUUUUGCAGGAUUUUAAAAUUUAUUGUCACACCCCAAUCCUUGAAUGAAAAAAUAUAAUCGAGGUGCAACUAAUUCAUAGAAAUAAACAAGGGAAAAAUCUUGUUAAAACCGAAAUAGGAUAGAAAGUCGGGCUAUGCCCCUUUGGAUCACAAGUUUUGUUUCAUGCUUCUGACAACCGACAUUCAGUAACAUAAAUUUUCAAAAAAUCAUUUGUUGGAAUUAAAGUAAAUUCAUUUUCUUUUAUCCGGCGUGAAUCAUCUAAAAUUCUAAGUUCAAAAAAAAAUUACUCUAAAUUUAGCUAGGGAAAAGCGGGGCGUUACAUUUAUAUACACUAACUAUGAACAUGGAAGUUACAUUGCGCAAAACAAGCUCAUCUUCAGGUAUUUUCUAUAGCAUGUGCGCACAAGCUUCUAAGUAUUUAUAUUCUAUGUUAUAAUCACCACAUAUCACACAACAUGAGCACAAAUCAAAAUAUUUUUUUAAUUAAUAUAUUUAUAUUUAUAUAUUGCAGCUAAUGAGGUAUAUAGACAAAGAAAAAAUCUACAAAGACAAAAGAAAUGUAAACGAAAUGCAAGUGAUUUGAAUUGUAAGUAUUACAUUCUUUUAAGAUAAAAAUACGUUUAAUGCAUUAUGAUAAAUUAUUAAUGUUUUUUUAAUUAUAUUGUUUAUCUAUUUUGGUUCAUUGCUACAUGAAUUGAAAAAUGUGCCUGAUUGCAUUCAUUGUGGUGCAAGAAGAUUUGAAUAUGAACCUCGUACUUUUUGUUGUGAUAAUGAAAAAGUUAAACUUGCAUUUUCUGAAGUUCCUCCGGAGUUGGAUGAAUUGUUUACAGCCCAGUCAGAAGAAGCUAUUAAUUUCAGAAGGAAUAUUCGUGCUUAUAAUAGUAUAUUCUCAUUCACUUCGUUUGGUGUAAAAUUGGACAAAGAAUUGGCAUCUGCAAGACGGGGAGUUUAUUCUUUUCGAGCACAAGGCAUGGUUUAUCAUGAUCUUCCUGGAUUGAUCCCACAAUAUACGUACAUUUUUUCAGCUAUACUUUUAUGACACACAAAGUGAGUUUGAGAACUUAAUUAACAUAAUGCAAAAUCAAGUUUUGUCGGAAGCAGUAGUUGUACAGAUGCUCAUGAAAAUUUUAGAGAUCAACCCGUAUGCAAAAUUCUUUCGAAGAUUGAAAGAUCAAUGGACAAUGUUCAGCUUCAUAUUUCUAAAGAUGUCAACUUAGAUCAACGAGUAUAUAAUUCUCCACAUGCAUAUCAAGUUGCAGCUAUAUGGGUUGAGAGAAAUAAUGAAAAUAUUCCAUUGGAGCGGGAUAUUGUAGUUCAUGCUCAUUCCGACGACAGACAUAGAAUAAAACAUUAUUAUGGAUGUUAUGAUCCAUUGCAAUAUCGACUUCUUUUUCCAAUGGGCGAAACAGGUUGGCAUCAAAACAUUAGAAAGAUUGAUCCAGCAUCUUUGGUUCAUAAUACAAAUUCUGUUUCUACUUCUACUUCAUUAGCAAGAACCAUAACUGCAGGCGAUAUUAUCUCCAAUGAAGAACAAGGUAUCUCUAUUAACUUUUUAUAAAUUGAUUGAUGAUUAAAUUAGUUAAGUAUUAUUUUAUAUUUGUAUAAUGUUUGUGUAGCUCACUCUGACCCUGGGAAUGUUUUCACGGCGACGGCGUAUAACCGGCCGUGUUUACUUCUCUCCCGGUUUUGUGUCUUUUUGGCUUUUAGGCGACGGAGUCUUACCGGACUUUUGCCUUUGCGUUUUCCUUGGGGGAGAGCCGGGUUUGUUUGGGGACGAUGGUUAGGCCGGAGUUCUGGAAACUUUCCCUUCCGCUCUUCCCCUUUUUUUGUUUGGUCUUUUAGACGGGUACUCUUUUCCCUUUUUGCGGUUUUUCCCACUGGAUUUUCUGCAAAAAGGUUUUAAUGAGGCUCGGCCCUUAGUCUGCUUUUCCUGUGCUUUCAAGGGUUUUUUCUAGGUUUUUUCUUUUUCUUUUUUAAUAAAAAUCGCAGUUUAAUUUAAUA
Salvia miltiorrhiza (redroot sage) is the source of this 2794-nucleotide long non-coding RNA. RefSeq lists it as uncharacterized. NCBI's taxonomy places the organism in Eukaryota, Viridiplantae, Streptophyta, Magnoliopsida, Lamiales, Lamiaceae. The transcript has 2 exons. The record is from RefSeq and is a predicted model, not a curated record.